CCCCUCUUUAAAGUAUCAUAGAUAAUUAUACAACUAAACAACAGAAACCCAGCCAAUACAAGCACCAUAUGUACUUGUGCAGCAGAAGCUCAGUGCUCAACUUGGAAAUGGUGCAUUGGGUCUUGUCCCAUUGGUCACACCCGUAAGCUUAGCAACCAAAGAUUCUAGGUUCACGUCUUAGGUAGCACAUCAACAUCGUUCC
Molecule: long non-coding RNA, 202 nt
Filed under: Elaeis guineensis (African oil palm)
Lineage: Eukaryota; Viridiplantae; Streptophyta; Magnoliopsida; Arecales; Arecaceae
Description: long non-coding RNA (EGUI_LNC022561)
Source: RNAcentral